UUAAUAUCUAUGAAGAGGAGAGUACUAUAUUUGAUUCUUUAAGCGAGUAAGGGGUGGUGUAAGCCUUAUAAGAUAGAAUAUUAGGAAGAGAGCCUUGGAGAUAGCUACUGAAAUUUUAUUAGUAGGAUAGUUCGUAUUGCUGCGUUAAAGCAUUGAGUGGCAUUUUAUGCAAUCAGAGUGGUACCGCGGGAUUUUUUCCGUCUCUUAU
RNAcentral lists this non-coding RNA (208 nucleotides) under Clostridium sp. RNAcentral's name for it is "T-box sequence". It matches the Rfam family "T-box leader". Rfam says of the family: Uncharged tRNA acts as the effector for transcription antitermination of genes in the T-box leader family. T-boxes are found upstream of many aminoacyl-tRNA synthetase genes and some amino acid biosynthetic genes usually in Gram-positive bacteria. The record is from RNAcentral. Lineage: Bacteria; Bacillati; Bacillota; Clostridia; Eubacteriales; Clostridiaceae.